RNAcentral lists this unclassified non-coding RNA (1698 nucleotides) under Hevea brasiliensis (rubber tree). Lineage: Eukaryota; Viridiplantae; Streptophyta; Magnoliopsida; Malpighiales; Euphorbiaceae. The record is from RNAcentral.
GCAAGAACUAAAUAGUAAUUUUCUCUUAAAAAAUAGUAAUACAUUAUAAUCAUAUAAAAAGAUAUGAAACUUCAAAAACCAUCAAACUUUGCCAUAAAAAUUUUCUUAACCCACAACAAAUCAAAUAUUUAAAUAAACUAGAAGCUGGCCUGGCCAACUUACCAAUGCGAUUUUUGCAGAUUAAAAAACAUUUGCUUUCCAGUAUUCAAUUUCUGCCCACUUUACACUGCAGGUACCUCUCUACAACGUCCAGCCCACAGAGCUCCUUCACAAUAGGCAUGGUGGCAGGAACCCCCACCUGGAAUGUUAAAUGAGAGCCAUCUAAGCAACCCCAUGAAUGAAGCUGUUUUCGUGCUUCACUAAUAGCAGCUUUUGUAGCACAGUGGACUGAGGCUGCUAGGAGUAAUGGUGGCUCACCAGAAGCUGCACAAAAGCAGAUAUGAUUCAACAACUAACAUCUUUCAUAAAUCGACACAACUUAUUACUAUGGACUCAUAUAAGCAUUGCAUUAUUUAUUGUAAAUACCCAAUUGUAAAUAGCACUAAAAUUAACAGUCUUGACACAAUUUUCUAUUCAGGUCUAUUCCAAGCGUAAUUCUGAUUUUGGCAGUGACUGAAGCCCAUAUCUAUUCCAAGCCUCACUUGCUACUCACUACAGCAUUUUGUAGAAUAACAAUCAUUCACAAUACCAUUUUUCCGGAAGAUCUCCAAAAUGUAGCUUGACAAUAAAAUGUGAUAUUGUAAUUUGCAAAACAUCUUAGAGACCUUUCAGAAAAUGCAUUUUUAUAUUUUCUUCCCUUCUCUCGGAAUAGAAACAAUUGAAAAUAAAAAGUAAAAAUAAAUUCUGCCAGCUAAAUUUAUGUUGCAAAUUAUUACACUAAAACUCUGUUACGCACAAAAAUAUCAGUUUCAAGCAGAUAGCAUGCUGUCCCAUUUGCUCAUUUUGUUAUUCAUCACAAAAGCACCUCUCAAAAUAAUGUCAUCCGGUUCAUCUGUAAUCAAGCUCGCAUUACUGCAUAAGUUAGAUUAUAAGUGAGUCGAUAAUAAUACAGCAAAGAUAAAAUAUAGCAAUUCUACUCAAUCUUUUAUCCUUAUUGUCAGUAAACAAAUAUCCCUCUUGCUUCUUUUCUAAGUAAUCAGAUCAGCAAUUCACAAAAUGAAAAUUUAUACUUACAUGUGCAUCCAACAGGCUUCAAAAAAAUAUUGAACACUUGAUAAUGAGGAAAUUUUCAGUUUUGCAUGCAUGGAGAAAUUAUCAUAGAUUAUCAAUCUACCUUUGGAAGAGAGAACACGUAAUUAUCAUAGAUUAUCAAUCGACCUUUGGAAGAGAGAACACGUUUUGGGUUACGUCCACUGUGAAGUAAUGCAACAUUGAGCUGCUUUGGUAUGGUGUCAAUUGUAGGGAUCUUGUACGUCCAUGUGCCUUCUGUGUCUACCAAUCCAUCUGAGUUUGUUGUGUAUUCUUCAAGCAUGAAAAACCCAAUUCCUUGGACAAAAGCUCCUUCAAUCUGUCCUAAAUCCACAGCAGGGUUGAGAGAUUGUCCACAAUCAUAUAAAAUAUCUGAUCUCAAAAUAGUUGUUUGCCCUGUCAGAAGGUCUACUUCCACCUCACUCACUGCAGCACCAUAGUUUAAGUAUUGUUUUGAAGCAAAGUCAGGAAUGAAGAAAGAAUUCACUGAUAAGUUCACAGCUUCCAAAU